CCNCCUAAGGCUUCUUCGGAAGCCUUGGCGGACUCCUCAGUAACACGUGGAUAACCUGCCCUUGGGACUGGCAUAACCCCGGGAAACUGGGGAUAAUACCAGAUAGAUCAGGGAUGCUGGAAUGCACCCUGAUCCAAAGCUCAGGCGCCCAAGGAUGGAUCUGCGACCUAUCAGGUUGUAGUGGGUGUAACGUACCUACUAGCCGACGACGGGUACGGGUUGUGAGAGCAAGAGCCCGGAGAUGGAUUCUGAGACACGAAUCCAGGCCCUACGGGGUGCAGCAGGCGCGAAACCUUUACAAUGUGCGAAAGCAUGNUAAGGGAACUCCGAGUGCCAGCAUCUAAUGCUGGCUGUCCUUGUGCCUAAAACGUACAAGAUAGCAAGGGCCGGGUAAGACCGGUGCCAGCCGCCGCGGUNACACCGGCGGCCCGAGUGGUAGCCCGCUUUUNUUGGGUCUAAAGGUUCCGUAACCCGGUUCCGUUAAGNCCUCUGGGAAAUCUGGUUNCUCAACAAUCAAACUACCAGGGGAUACUGUCGAACU
Molecule: ribosomal RNA, 541 nt
Filed under: uncultured archaeon
Lineage: Archaea
Description: bacterial SSU rRNA
Rfam family: Archaeal small subunit ribosomal RNA
Source: RNAcentral